RNAcentral lists this ribosomal RNA (427 nucleotides) under uncultured bacterium. Its description in RNAcentral is "bacterial SSU rRNA". It matches the Rfam family "Bacterial small subunit ribosomal RNA", at positions 355 to 794 of the family's 1533-position model. The record is from RNAcentral.
UGGGGAAUAUUGGGCAAUGGGGCGCAAGCCUGACCCAGCAACGCCGCGUGAGGGAAGAAGGUUUUCGGAUUGUAAACCUCUGUCGCAGAAGACGAAGGAAGUGACGGUAAUCUGUGAGGAAGCCCCGGCUAACUACGUGCCAGCAGCCGCGGUAAUACGGUAGGGGGCGAGCGUUGUCCGGAAUUACUGGGCGUAAAGGGUGCGUAGGCGGUUUGGUAAGUUGGAUGUGAAAUACCCGGGCUUAACUUGGGGGCUGCAUCCAAUACUGUCGGACUUGAGUGCAGGAGAGGAAAGCGGAAUUCCUAGUGUAGCGGUGAAAUGCGUAGAUAUUAGGAGGAACACCGGUGGCGAAGGCGGCUUUCUGGACUGUAACUGACGCUGAGGCACGAAAGCGUGGGGAGCAAACAGGAUUAGAUACCCUGGUAGU